This 259-nucleotide unclassified non-coding RNA is filed under the name Bombus terrestris (buff-tailed bumblebee). Its description in RNAcentral is "misc RNA ENSBTSG00005025475.1". The record is from RNAcentral. Lineage: Eukaryota; Metazoa; Arthropoda; Insecta; Hymenoptera; Apidae.
CGUUUAACAACGAACCAACGAGCGAAACAAUUCCUGCUACACAUGAAUACGCGCACCAACGAUAAGCCGAGACAACCGAGGAAGAAGGAGAAUUUCCAGAACCGUCGUAAUAUCGGCGAUAACGUACCGAUGACGAUCAUCGUCCGGAUCCCGACUUAUAAUACCUCUACACGACGCUAGUCUGAAGUUUCCCCACAGAAAUGAAGGUUCCGUUACCUCGGUAAUUACCCUUUCACGAUACAGCUGGGUAUUAUGCAAC